This 240-nucleotide ribosomal RNA is filed under the name uncultured bacterium. RNAcentral describes it as "partial 16S ribosomal RNA". It matches the Rfam family "Bacterial small subunit ribosomal RNA", at positions 333 to 572 of the family's 1533-position model. The record is from RNAcentral.
GUUACCCUACGGGGGGCAGCAGUGGGGAAUAUUGCACAAUGGGGGAAACCCUGAUGCAGCGACGCCGCGUGAGUGAAGAAGUAUUUCGGUAUGUAAAGCUCUAUCAGCAGGGAAGAAAUACUGACCUUACGGUCGGCAGACGGUACCUGACUAAGAAGCCCCGGCUAACUACGUGCCAGCAGCCGCGGUAAUACGUAGGGGGCAAGCGUUAUCCGGAUUUACUGGGUGUAAAGGGAGCGU